RNAcentral lists this ribosomal RNA (1290 nucleotides) under Triticum aestivum (bread wheat). RNAcentral's name for it is "partial small subunit ribosomal RNA". The record is from RNAcentral. Lineage: Eukaryota; Viridiplantae; Streptophyta; Magnoliopsida; Poales; Poaceae.
AUGUCCAGCGAGCCGCCGCCGCCGCCGCCGCUGCCGCCGUCGGGGGCUGCGCCAGCAGCGAAACCUCCGUCCAUCACCUCCACCACCCUCGCCACCGCUGCCCUCGCUACCGCCGCCGACGGAACCACCACCACCAUAUCCUCCCUCGGCCAAGACCAGCUUCUCGACAUCUUCCUCCGCCUGCCCAACCUCCCGGACCUCGUCCGCGCCGCGCUCACCUGCCGCCCAUGGCUCGGCGCCGUCCGCUCCUCCCCGUCCUUCCGCCGCCUCUUCCGCGCCAUCCACCCGGCGCCCCUCCUCGGGAUCUUCCUCAAAGUGGACGACGACACCGCCCCCUCCUUCGCCCCCCUGCGCCGCUCGGAUCCCGUCGUCACCGCCGCCCUCCGCCGCGGGGACUUCUUCCUCACCUCCCUCCCCCUGGACGAUGCCUGGACUGUCACGGACUGCCGCGACGGUUACAUCCUCCUAUGGAAUACUUUCUGGGCCGUGGCUGUGGUGAACCCCAUGACCUGGGCUGUGGAUGUCAUCUCCUUCCCCGACGACGUCGCGGAUGGGAGCCUUCGCGAUUUCGCCUUCCUUGGUUUCCACCUGCUGACUUCCGACGAGAACCCCCGGUCGUUCCGUGUGGUCUGCCUCUGCGCCGACGUGUCUAGGGUUCGUGCCGCAGUCUUCUCGUCGGAGACCUCGGAUUGGGCCGUCCACCCGUGGGUGGAGAUCGGUGGUGACAACAGCCUCAAGUACGGUGCGGGCACGCUGGUGGAUGGUUCAGUUUACUGGCCUUUCUAUGGCGAAGGACGCAUUAUCAGGAUCAACACAGCCACCAUGGAUGUCUCCUCUCUGGAUCUACCCUCACACACAACUAUUGAUUACUGGCAAGACGAUUUCAUGGUUGGGGAUACCAAGGAUGGAGAACUCUGCAUUGCCCACGCAUCCGAUGAUUUUCUCCUCCAUGUUUGGAUCCGUAGUGUGGGCAGUGAUGGCAUUGGGAUUUGGGCGCGGCAGAACAUAGUCUCUUGCAGUGCAGAAAUUGAUCGGGUCACUCGGGGCUUGGAGGGCCAAGUCAGGGUUGUGCAAGUGAGGUCUGGAUGUGUCUACUUCUCCAUGACACGCAUGACCCUUGCUGGCACACAGCGCACCUGGUUCUUCUACCUUUCAUUGGAGACCAUGGAGAUCGAGUUACUAAUCCACGGCACAUUUGAUGACUCUGCCUUUCCGUAUCAUAUGGCCUGGCCUCCUUGUUUGAUUGGUGAUGAUGGGAGCACUGGACAUGAAGUUGAAGCUUCUUGCUGA